RNAcentral lists this transfer RNA (70 nucleotides) under Isthmohyla lancasteri (Lancaster's treefrog). RNAcentral's name for it is "tRNA-Val". It matches the Rfam family "tRNA". From Rfam's summary of the family: Transfer RNA (tRNA) molecules are approximately 80 nucleotides in length. Lineage: Eukaryota; Metazoa; Chordata; Amphibia; Anura; Hylidae. The record is from RNAcentral.
CAAAGUAUAGCUUAACCUAAAGCACCUCGCUUACACCGAAACAACACCUGUUAAAACCAGGUUACUUUGA